RNAcentral lists this transfer RNA (73 nucleotides) under Drosophila willistoni. Its description in RNAcentral is "tRNA-Val (AAC) (tRNA-Val-AAC-3-1)". It matches the Rfam family "tRNA". From Rfam's summary of the family: Transfer RNA (tRNA) molecules are approximately 80 nucleotides in length. Their secondary structure includes four short double-helical elements and three loops (D, anti-codon, and T loops). Further hydrogen bonds mediate the characteristic L-shaped molecular structure. tRNAs have two regions of fundamental functional importance: the anti-codon, which is responsible for specific mRNA codon recognition, and the 3' end, to which the tRNAs corresponding amino acid is attached (by aminoacyl-tRNA synthetases). tRNAs cope with the degeneracy of the genetic code in two manners: having more than one tRNA (with a specific anti-codon) for a particular amino acid; and 'wobble' base-pairing, i.e. permitting non-standard base-pairing at the 3rd anti-codon position. Lineage: Eukaryota; Metazoa; Arthropoda; Insecta; Diptera; Drosophilidae. The record is from Rfam by way of RNAcentral. RNAcentral also lists the same sequence under 1 other name.
GUUUCCGUGGUGUAGCGGUUAUCACAUCUGCUUAACACGCAGAAGGUCCCAGGUUCGAUCCCUGGCGGAAACA